Molecule: ribosomal RNA, 253 nt
Filed under: uncultured bacterium
Lineage: Bacteria
Description: partial 16S ribosomal RNA
Rfam family: Bacterial small subunit ribosomal RNA
Source: RNAcentral
UACGGAGGGUGCAAGCGUUAUCCGGAUUCACUGGGUUUAAAGGGUGCGUAGGCGGGCAAGUAAGUCAGUGGUGAAAUCUCCGGGCUUAACCCGGAAACUGCCAUUGAUACUAUUUGUCUUGAAUACUGUGGAGGUCAGCGGAAUAUGUCAUGUAGCGGUGAAAUGCUUAGAUAUGACAUAGAACACCAAUUGCGAAGGCAGCUGGCUACACAAAUAUUGACACUGAGGCACGAAAGCGUGGGGAUCAAACAGG